Pelobates cultripes (western spadefoot toad) is the source of this 893-nucleotide non-coding RNA. Lineage: Eukaryota; Metazoa; Chordata; Amphibia; Anura; Pelobatidae. The record is from the annotation of a GenBank genome assembly.
UGGACACUGAUUCAGCUGCCGCCAAGUUAAACCUGGAUUUCAGAAUUUCACGCUACUGGGUCUGGGCGAAGAUUUCAGGUAACAAGACCCGGCGCUAAGCUUUCGUUAGACAAUAAAACAUUCACCGACAACGACUAAGCAACAAAAAAAAAAAUCAGAUUUGCCCAGUCUUCUCUGUUGUAAAGAAGGAUUUUAAAUAGAGCUAUUUUCUCUGAAUUUAUUGGUUAGUUCUUCUGGUCAUUAAAAGUAACAGAAACGUUGGCGGCUUUUUAGAAGAUAACUCUAUUUAAAAUUUACUCUCAGGAGUAAUGUUACUUUCUGUUUAGAAUGGUAAUAAUAUAAUCUAUGCCUUUCUUGUUUUUCACUGUAAAUAACUUUUGUACCUUUCCGGUAAGAUUUUCUUUGAAUUACUGUUGUAUAGAUCAUUCCAUUAAUUAGCUAUUAAAAAGUAUUACACUAUUUUAUGGCUGUCUCUUAUGCCACUUUUAUUUUUUUAUCUCAAAGUGUCUGCGUAGUAGAUUCACUGUGGCGGCACAAAAUCUGUCCCAACAUACAAAGAAAAUAUAUACUGUAAGUGCGUGGAGAUCCGAAGUGCAAUCAAGUGCAGGCAGCCUCCAAAAUCAGGAUCACUCCCCAGUCCUACCAAAAUGACAAACAAAAAAAAUCCUGAAAAAAUCAGCCCAAAUGAAACACGUUGAGUGGAGGACCCCACAAGGUGGUCAUUGGUGAGGGAAUAGCUCCUGGACUCUUAUCCUUUAUACUUUAACUUUUCUUUCGACUGAUACUUGGAGGAAACAACUGUCUACUGUCCGGUGGGACUAAGCCUACGUAGGCUGCAAAGCGUAUUACACAACUUUUAAUUCAUUUUAAUUGUGCCAUGUUUUAUGUGAGAG